RNAcentral lists this ribosomal RNA (468 nucleotides) under uncultured bacterium. RNAcentral describes it as "partial 16S ribosomal RNA". It matches the Rfam family "Bacterial small subunit ribosomal RNA", at positions 28 to 507 of the family's 1533-position model. The record is from RNAcentral.
GACGAACGCUGGCGGCGUGCUUAACACAUGCAAGUCGAACGGAAAGGCCCUGCUUUUGUGGGGUGCUCGAGUUGCGAACGGGUGAGUAACACGUGAGUUACCUGCCCUUGACUUUGGGAUAACUUCAGGACACUUGGGCUAAUACCUGAUAGGAGCUCCUGCUUCUUGGUGGGGGUUGGAUAGUUUCGGCGGUUGGGGAUGGACUCGCGGCUUAUCAGCUUGUUGGUGGGGUAGUGGCUUACCAAGGCUUUGACGGGUAGCCGGCCUGGGAGGGUCACCGGACAAAAUGCGAUAGAGAUACGACGCAGACUCGAACGGGACGGAGAAGUGGGGAAGAAAAGACAGUAGAGGGAAGGGUAAUGGAGCAAAGCCGUGUAGGGGAUGACGGCCAGGAGUUAGUAAACCGCAUUUGCAUGUGACGAGGCGUGAAUGACAGUAAUGGGUAAAGAAGCACCGGCUAACUAAGUG